This 516-nucleotide ribosomal RNA is filed under the name uncultured Actinomycetes bacterium. RNAcentral's name for it is "bacterial SSU rRNA". It matches the Rfam family "Bacterial small subunit ribosomal RNA", at positions 355 to 879 of the family's 1533-position model. The record is from RNAcentral. Lineage: Bacteria; Bacillati; Actinomycetota; Actinomycetes.
CAGGGAAUUUUGCACAAUGGACGAAAGUCUGAUGCAGCGACGCCGCGUGGGGGAUGAAUGCCUUCGGGUUGUAAACCCCUUUCAGGAGGGACGAAGCGAAAGUGACGGUACCUCCAGAAGAAGUCCCGGCCAACUACGUGCCAGCAGCCGCGGUAAUACGUAGGGGGCGAACGUUGUCCGGAUUUAUUGGGCGUAAAGAGCUCGUAGGCGGCUCAGCAAGUCGGCCGUGAAAACCCGGGGCUCAACCCCGGGACGCCGGUCGAAACUGCUGUGGCUAGGGUUCGGUAGAGGAGAGUGGAAUUCCCGGUGUAGCGGUGAAAUGCGCAGAUAUCGGGAGGAACACCAGUAGCGAAGGCGGCUCUCUGGGCCGAUACCGACGCUGAGGAGCGAAAGCUAGGGGAGCAAACAGGAUUAGAUACCCUGGUAGUCCUAGCCGUAAACGUUGGGCACUAGGUGUGGCGGACUCAUUGACGUCUGCCGUGCCGCAGCUAACGCAUUAAGUGCCCCGCCUGGGGA